CCCGAUGUACCAAUUCUAUCAUGUUGAAGAGAAAAGGAAACCUCAUCGACUUCAUCAUCAUUUUUCACACAUACAUGCACUCCUCUGUUUAAGAAAUCAUUUUCUAGCUGUCUUUCUUCCUCUGAUGUGUUUGGAAGAUGAGUGGAGGCAUUGCCUAAUCCUCCAGUAACUGUAAUCCUGCUAAAUAUUCUUUAAUAAAUAUAUAUACCGUAUAAAAGUGUUGUCAAAAUUCCUGUGCAGUAUUAACUUUAUUGGUAUUUGGAUCCCAUGUAACACCUGUAUGUUCCAAAAGUUCAAAAAACAUGCGAUGAAUUUUACGUAAGCGGUUCCACUUUCCCUUUAAUCUAUCUAUGCCGUAAUCCAUUUUUGUUGAACCUAUCAUGGUCUCAUUGAUUCUGCCACAUUGGUCUUUCGUGAAUGUAGAACAUUGCAAUGCAAUUGAUUUGACUUUCUCGUAAAGAAUUUCGAUAAAAGCGUGUUCAUUCUCGUCUGACCAUGACAUUGGUUCCUUAUUCCUAACUUUGUGACCACCCAUGUUGAAACUAUAUUGAAUAUACAUAAAAUUAUCAAGAAAUACAUAAGACCUUCCAUGGACGAUUUGAGGAGGACAUAUUGUGUGAUUUUAAUUAUAGUCACAUACCAUCAAUUGUCAUUAGAUGCGUAUAGUACUAAUUUGCAUAGAUCCAUUAACCAAGAAACAUUGGAUAUUGCAAACAAAAUCCCCGAAAAAGAAGAAGAAUAUUUAGCACUCGAAUAGAAAACACCACAAUUGUUGAAUCUCAAUUGCUUUCUCUUUCUAAGAAACUUGGCAAGUAGCUUAGUAGGCAGCAAAGAAAACAAACCCACUUUCCAUUCGCUUACCAACCAAACCUCAAUGACAGCAUUUGAUUUUAAAGCUUUGUGACCUUUCCUAACCAUGGGUCAGGUAAGUAAAACAAGAAUGCAUCAAAAACAUUGACUAUACUUUUCCCUAUGGUCAUCCUAUUGGAAAGGAAUAUGAACAACAACCUAUUAGUCCAUCAUUGUGCUAAUAGAAUGAAAUAUAAAGAACAUUGACUAUAAUUUUCCCUAUGGUCAUCCUAUUCAUGCAAAUAUCAAGUGUUGACAAACUUAUAAACAGCUUUGGUGCAUUUUAUCUUUACUAGUUAAUGUUCUAGCAAAUUAUGUUAAGCUUUCCUGGAAAUUUAUGAGAGUAGGCCAAUGAUUGUGCUGAUAUUUAGCGAUAAACUCUCAAGAAUUUUCAUGUGAGGGUCAUUGAAUUGUGAAGCCUUCGCUGGACUAUUUCUUUUCAUUGGCCAAGGAUCUUAAGGGAUUACCUACUAGGAGAAUUACUUCUUAAUGGAACUAUAGCCUGUAAAUAUUUAGCAAGAAAGUGUCAGAAAAAAAAAGGGACAAACAUGGGUCGAAAUGGGAUCCAUCCAGUGAUUUUUUAGAAAAGAAUAAAUAAAAUUACAAUAAAAAUCAAAAGAUGAAUUUCAAGGCGUGUUUUAUAAAUUUAAACCAAUGAAACCAUAAUUGUAACGGGUUUCUUGCAAUCGGCCAAGUCAGCAAGUUCUUGAGCGAUUUUAUAAUAGAUGGAUUUUUUGCCUAACAGAUUAAGGGGUUGUUUUCUUUGUGUUCCAAUUUUGUGAUUUUGAGUUUUGAAUUCAUUUUGAGUUUGGUGUUUUGAAUGCUUGUUUUGAAAUUAAUGAAAAUACGUUUUUUUAUAUCAUUCUGAAAAACUGUUUUUGGAAACAUAAAAUUGAAAAACGUGUUUACUUUGAAAUUUUGAGAAUAUUUUUAUAAUAUUUUAUUCAAGAAAUAUGAUUAUUCAAUAAAUUUUAAUAGUUUAAUGUUAAUAUAAUAUAAUAACAUAUAAAUUUUGAAAUUGGUGAAUUUUGAAAUAUUUUUAACAGAUAUAAAAAACACAACCUAAAUUAAAUUUGACAACACGGAUUAAUAGAUCUAUUAGAAGUUUACGUGUCAUGUCAAAACAAGUAGACACUACACAAAAUAUAAAUGUACGAUAUCUUGAGUAAUCAUUCCACAUUUGAGUAACAAUUUGAUCCCUGACUUGUCCCAUUUGAGCUGUUUGACUAGCAUCUAAAUGUAUAACUUCUUGUUCUUAACUAUUAACUUCAUUAUCCGAUUGAUUACAUGAUUUUCCUUGGAUCUUUGCAAGCUUUUCUUUUAGGUAAAGUGUUCUAAGUUUAGUUUUCUCAUUCCUCAAACUUUACACAAGUGACCACUGUGCCAUGCAGACCUCAAGUUUAUCAUUUUUACUGAUCUUAGGUUCCUUACGUCGACAUUCACCCGAUGUACCAAUUCUAUCAUGUUGAAGAGAAAAGGAAACCUCAUCGACUUCAUCAUCAUUUUUCACACAUACAUGCACUCCUCUGUUUAAGAAAUCAUUUUCUAGCUGUCUUUCUUCCUCUGAUGUGUUUGGAAGAUGAGUGGAGGCAUUGCCUAAUCCUCCAGUAACUGUAAUCCUGCUAAAUAUUCUUUAAUAAAUAUAUAUACC
RNAcentral lists this long non-coding RNA (2500 nucleotides) under Olea europaea (common olive). RNAcentral describes it as "long non-coding RNA (OEUR_LNC002032)". Lineage: Eukaryota; Viridiplantae; Streptophyta; Magnoliopsida; Lamiales; Oleaceae. The record is from RNAcentral.